GGCUCCAUAGUGUAGUGGUUAGCACAUCUGCUUUGCAAGCAGAAGUUCCUGGGUUUGUACCCCAGGUAGAGCCA
This 74-nucleotide transfer RNA is filed under the name Pteropus alecto (black flying fox). It matches the Rfam family "tRNA". From Rfam's summary of the family: Transfer RNA (tRNA) molecules are approximately 80 nucleotides in length. Their secondary structure includes four short double-helical elements and three loops (D, anti-codon, and T loops). The record is from Rfam by way of RNAcentral. Lineage: Eukaryota; Metazoa; Chordata; Mammalia; Chiroptera; Pteropodidae. RNAcentral also lists the same sequence under 1 other name.